GCCAGACUCCUACGGGAGGCAGCAGUGAGGAAUAUUGGUCAAUGGGCGGGAGCCUGAACCAGCCAAGUCGCGUGAGGGAAGACGGUCCUACGGAUUGUAAACCUCUUUUGCCGGGGAGCAACGGGGUCCUUGCGAGGGCCCGAUGAGAGUACCCGGAGAAAAAGCAUCGGCUAACUCCGUGCCAGCAGCCGCGGUAAUACGGAGGAUGCGAGCGUUAUCCGGAUUUAUUGGGUUUAAAGGGUGCGUAGGCGGAAUAUCAAGUCAGCGGUAAAAAUUCGGGGCUCAACCCCGUCGUGCCGUUGAAACUGAUGUUCUUGAGUGGGCGAGAAGUAUGCGGAAUGCGUGGUGUAGCGGUGAAAUGCAUAGAUAUCGCACAGAACUCCGAUUGCGAAGGCAGCGUACCGGCGCCAGACUGACGCUGAGGCACGAAAGCGUGGGGAUCGAACAGGAUUAGAUACCCCCGUA
This 465-nucleotide ribosomal RNA is filed under the name uncultured bacterium. Its description in RNAcentral is "bacterial SSU rRNA". It matches the Rfam family "Bacterial small subunit ribosomal RNA", at positions 330 to 792 of the family's 1533-position model. The record is from RNAcentral.